CAGAGGCAUUUCUCUGUGGUCUGGUGGCCGCCCUGAGCUGCGGCUGCAGACUCCUGGGCCCAGUGAAGGGAGGGCCGCCCUGCGGGGGUGGGGGGGGGCAUGCUUCCUCUCCCCAGAUUCUGAGACAGAGGCUGAGGCCGCCCUCACCCUUCCCUGCGGUGUACCUGGGGUUCUUCGUCCUCAGGUUAGAUUUCAGAAUCUGGUGAGAAUUUCCAUCCUGUAGGUGGGGCUCUCUAGGAAUCAUGGACCUUGUUCUGGAAAUCAUCAGCUUUUUCUGUCCAGUGGUUACAGCUGCCUGUGAACAUCUCAGAGAUUUCCAAAAUGGUUGAUUUGCAUGAAACUGGUGGAAACUGGCCCAGGCCGAUGAAAGCCUUACAGACGCCAUCUGUCACCUUCCUGCCUCCGGACUCUCCAUCACAGCCAGUGGCUCUUACCGGGUCUGCUAACAAAUUCCUUGUUUUUGUUUGAGAAAAUACAUUUCACCUUCACUUUCGAGGAAUAAUUUCACUAUAUGUGGAAUACUCCAGCCCUGACUAGUGCAUAGAUCGACUAAUCCUACACCAACGGAAAAGCCACAUGGUGAGUAGAGUUUCUGAGGUGCUUCCAGGUAGGAAGGCUGCUGUGGCCCACAGGACAACGCCUGAGGAGCGGCCAUGUUAAGGGAGCAGUUUACUACACAGCACAGCGUGGGGCCACACUUAAGCCCCCCACUGGGGCUGGGGCAGGAGUGGCUGGGAGACCCUUCAAGCCUCAGACAGGACCGACAUGGGCCUGAGAAAGGCCCCGGGGACAAGCAUGGGAACAAUCUGGGCACCAGAGCAACUCCCAGGCCCCGCUCUCAUCCCUGCCCUCACACCUGCAGCGCCCAGCCCUGUGUGCCCAGACUGCGGGCCAGGGGAUGGCACUUGUGGGCGUGGGGAGUCUGUGUCAGCAGCAGCGAGCAGGCUGCACGCAGCGCGGAAAGGGCUCAGGUGGUGUUUGUGGACACAAUGGCUCCGGCCGGGGCUGAGAGAAACGAGGGCCCACACGGGAACUGAUCCAACUGUGAAGGGCUGAAGGAGCUUCAGCCUCCCUCCUGACGGGAUCUGGACCCAAUGUGAAGAAGGACCCACAGGAGCCAUGGCCCACGGGCAUCGAGCAGUCACUUGGAGAGGGAAUAGCUGGGCUUCCUCACAUUUCCAUCCACAAGGAGAGCACAGGCGUGUUUCACCUACAUUUUCUCAGCGUGUGGAAGAGGUCUUGGACUGCUAAGAUCUGAGGCGUUUCCCGUUUGGUUUGGGCCUUGACAUGAAGCUGGCUCCUACCUUCUCUCCUCUGUGCUCCAGAGGAGCUGAUGUAAUUGAACCUGUGGAAGCAUUUUCAUCCUGCGUACCGUGUGGCCUUAGCAUGAGGCUGCUCUACCCCCCGAGUUCCCAGGGCCGCCAGCUGGAAGCUCGCUCUGGUUCCUGGGGGGAGGUGAAGAUCUCAGACUGCCACUGGGCACAGGGCGGGCUCCCGGAGCCCCAGCUUCCCCAAGCACCAAUGAGUGGGAAGGAGAAAAAUAGCAAAAUCUCACCGAG
Leopardus geoffroyi (Geoffroy's cat) is the source of this 1559-nucleotide long non-coding RNA. RefSeq lists it as uncharacterized. Lineage: Eukaryota; Metazoa; Chordata; Mammalia; Carnivora; Felidae. The transcript is spliced from 3 exons. The record is from RefSeq and is a predicted model, not a curated record.